UUUUGACUAGCAAAACUCCAGUUGUUGCAACACAGUCAGCUCGAGCCUUGGGUGCUUUGUCCCGUCCAACAAAAGAAAAAUCUACAUAAGAUGCUUUAUAUUGCUGAAGGAGAUGUAAGACCACUGAUUAAGUUGGCUAAAACUGCAUCUAUUGAUUCUGCAGAGACUGCAAUGGCUGCUUUAGCCAAUCUGUUGUCUGAUCCAGAAAUAGCUGCGGAAGCUCUGGCUGAAGAUGUUGUUUCAGCUUUUACCCGAGUUCUAGGAGA
RNAcentral lists this unclassified non-coding RNA (266 nucleotides) under Hevea brasiliensis (rubber tree). Lineage: Eukaryota; Viridiplantae; Streptophyta; Magnoliopsida; Malpighiales; Euphorbiaceae. The record is from RNAcentral.